Molecule: non-coding RNA, 26 nt
Filed under: Cricetulus griseus (Chinese hamster)
Lineage: Eukaryota; Metazoa; Chordata; Mammalia; Rodentia; Cricetidae
Source: RNAcentral
CUGAAACAUCUAAGAAGGGAGUCUGC